This is a long non-coding RNA of Drosophila miranda, 1360 nucleotides long. RefSeq lists it as uncharacterized. The record is from RefSeq and is a predicted model, not a curated record. The transcript is spliced from 2 exons. NCBI's taxonomy places the organism in Eukaryota, Metazoa, Arthropoda, Insecta, Diptera, Drosophilidae.
GCAAAAUAGCAAAAUGUGCUGUAAGGCGCAACGUUGAGAAAAGGCCAUUUUUUAUUUAAAUUCAAAAAGUGUAUAAUAUUAAAACAAGUGCAAGUUGGUUUUCAGUACUUCUUUAUUAUGGAAGCUACCUCGAGGGGAACGAACUCGUACAGCUUCCCUUCCUCCUGAGGCUGCGCGUUGAACGAACAUUCCCAGAAGCCAAUCUGAAAAUUACAACUUUUGUGCUGUUUUGGAAGGAGGAGACUUACCCCAUGGGCCGGAUCCCGGAUCCCCCAUCAUCGAAUUGCAAACAAAGGGUGGAGAUGGUCCGUGGCUGCUUAGUAGCGCGGGCGGCCGUCUUUUCAGCGCUUCGCAUUACUUUUCAGCCAACUUGCAACAAAAAUUACAAUAAUACAUAGUUGUAAAUGUCAUGAUGUUACAGGGAGGGUGGGAAGAGCGUGAAAUUGUGAUAAACGAACGAAAUAUUGAAACCAGAUUGAAAUAGAGUGAAUAGCAAGAAGAGUCGCAGUAAAUGAAGUAGAUGUGAAAUGGCCCGCCCGACAACGAACGCUACGUUAACAAUUUGCUGGCUGCUUGCCUUUCUUCUCCUUCCUCGAAUCUCUCGAAAUCUCCUUCAAUCCAACUUUCCAACUCUCAGACUUACACUUCUGCUCAGAUAGAUAGAUCUCUGCUUCGCUCUGCUGACGCGCUGCUGCUCUGCUACAACGUUUCAAAUAUAUACACAAAAACUACAAAAAUCUUUAGCUAAACAUUAUUUUUUUUGUUUGGUUUUUUUUUGGGUUUUUUCUUUUCGAAUUUACAUCAUUCAUUUGCUGUAUAUACUUAUGUAUUUUCGAAUCUUGUAUUUCGCUACAUUAAAGUGUAAAAUUUCGUUAAUUAUAAUUGCGCUGACCUCAGACGACAACUGCAUACAGACUGAUUGCUAAAAGGUAGAUUACAUUUAAUUGUUGCUUGAUUAAAACUAAACAUUGGAGAUAAGUUAGUUCCAUGUCGUCACUUAUGCGUACAAGAAAGCUAAGAUAUUCCACCGAACGGUUACGGUUACGGUUAGGGUUACGAUUAAGGUUGGGUUCGGUUCGGUUCAGCAGUUCGCUUGAAACUGAAUGUGGUGUGUGGUACUCGUAAUCGUACACGUGAAUUAACGCUAAGGCGGCGUGCGGCAGGGGCAGCUGUGAAGGAUGGAUUGCCAUUGCCGCCGCGCCGCGCCGCACUCUUUUAAGAUUAUGACAACUUAAGCCUAGUGAAAGUCGUAAAAUGUAAUACAUAUUUUCAUAAGUUUGUUUUGUGUGUGUUCUGCGCACUGAUUAUCAGAAAUGUUUGGCGGCAGGCCACAGCACAGAUUGCUACAUACUCGAAAUUG